UGCAUUGAGUCAGCGGGUUGUCUGCAGG
RNAcentral lists this small RNA (28 nucleotides) under Bombyx mori (domestic silkworm). RNAcentral's name for it is "ovarian small RNA-33622". The record is from RNAcentral. Lineage: Eukaryota; Metazoa; Arthropoda; Insecta; Lepidoptera; Bombycidae.